AUGCAGGGGCUCUUACAUGGCAACAAAGAAGUUGCUGUUAAAAGGCUCAGUAGAGGUUCUGGGCAGGGGGCAAUAGAGUUUAGGAAUGAAGUAGUCGUGAUUGCUAAACUGCAACACAAAAACCUUGUAAGGCUUGUCUGUUGUGUGCAGGGCGAUGAAAAGCUACUUAUUUAUGAAUAUCUACCAAACAGAAGCCUGGACACCUUCCUUUUCAAUUCUGAAAAGAAGUCAAUGCUUCACUGGCCGACACGAUUCAAUAUAAUAAAAGGAGUGGCUAGGGGGCUACUCUAUCUCCAUCAAGAUUCAAGACUGAUGAUAAUUCUUAGGGAUCUGAAAAGAAGCAACAUUUUGCUAGAUGGAGAUAUGAAUCCCAAGAUAUCUGAUUUUGGCAUGGCAAGAAUCUUUGGUGGAGAUGAGCAACAAGCGAACACUAACCGAGUUGUCGGAACAUAUGGUUAUAUGUCUCCGGAAUAUGCAAUGGAAGGCCUCUUUUCUGUGAAGUCCGAUGUCUAUAGCUUUGGAGUAUUGCUCUUGGAAACUGUAAGUGGUCUAAGGAUUAGCUCAACCCAGAACAUCAAGGAGUUCCCCAACCUUAUAAUAUAUGCAUGGAGUCUAUGGAGGGAAGGGCUAGCAAUGGAUUUGGUGGAUCCAUGUGUUUCAGAGAGCUGUUCCAGUGAAGAGGCUUUGUGCUGCAUUCAUGUUGGGCUCUUGUGUGUUCAGGAUGAUCCGGAUGCCAGACCACUCAUGUCAACUGUUGUAUCAACCUUGGAGAGUAGAAGCACGCCACUUGCAACGCCUUAUAAGCCACUGUAUUUUUCUCAGAGGAAUAAGGUAGCGAAGAGAGCAGCACAUGGUCAGGACUCUGUGGAUAUGGAGGCCCUUACAGUUAUAGAGGGGCGAUAG
Molecule: ribosomal RNA, 903 nt
Filed under: Triticum aestivum (bread wheat)
Lineage: Eukaryota; Viridiplantae; Streptophyta; Magnoliopsida; Poales; Poaceae
Description: partial small subunit ribosomal RNA
Source: RNAcentral